GUGACAGUGAUGCAGAGGUGCAGUGGCUGCUGGGAACUGAAGAGUUCCUUCGGGAUAUCCAUGACAAGUAUAACAUGAUAUCUUGACUCCUAUUUUUUAAAGGGAGAUUUAAAACAAAAGAGGACGAGUACAGCUUUAGAGCUCAGUGAAAUCAAUGCACAGACAGCUCCGUCACCAAGGAAAAAGCUCCACCCCCUUAGGAUGCGAGGGAAGGAUGCAAGUAUAAGAUGCGAGGAGAGAGGCAUCAAAGCAAGUCAAAUGGAAUAUCCUCGCUCUCUCAAGCGCCACCUCAAAACGACAUCAAUGAAUGAUUGGAUUGCUGAAUUGCCUCACUGCAGUCCAGGGAUCUGCCAUUAUGUUGUUUGAAACUGGCACCCGCACCCUCAUGCCUCUCCCCAUCAUUGGUGUCCCCUUCGAGAGAAUAAGGUAUCCCCAAGGACAUUGUAACUAACCAAGACUGACGGCCUCACUGAUCGCUUUAACCAAAUGCUCAACUGGAUGCUGCGACAGGUUGUAGAUGAAGAGGGGAGGAACUGGGACCUCCUCCUACCCUUCAUCUUCUUCACUGUCAGAGACUUGACAGGAAUCUACAGGCUUUACCUCCUCUUCAGAUAGGAGCCUCAGGGACUGUUGGAUGUGGCCUGGGAAGCCUGGAGGAACAGCCCUCACUGUUCCACUCUCUCAUCGAUUAUGUGCAGGACAUGCAAGAGCGGCUCUAGCAAGUUGUUCCGAUCGUCCGGGAGCACAUGGAGACCUCACAAUGGGUAUCUAUAAUCAACCUGCCCAGCCCCGGGAGUUCCAUCCAGGUGAUCAGGUGCUUCUCCUGCUGCCAAACGCCUCCUACAAAUUUAUAGCAUGCUGGCAGGGAACACAGUCCUCAAGAGGUGGGCCCAGUGAACUACCACCUGUCAGCCCCUGGUCCAGCCCCAUUGUCAUGGUGUCGAAGCCCAACAGAAGUAUCCUCCCCUGGGCCAACAACCUAGUGGAGCAGCUGGGGAGAACUCGCUUCAUAUCCACCCUCGGCCCUGGCUCCGGAAACAAAGCCCAAAAAAGUCUUUUGGGCUUUGCUGAAGCACCUUUGUUGAAGCACCUUUUGAUUUUAUUAUACCACUCAGCCUUUGAGUAAGACUCUGUGUGACACAUCUUGACUUAGCAAUAUUUUCCACACCCUCUCUGCAAAAACAUCAGAUUGUAAGGACACAGAUUUUUUGUUAGAUUCAGGUCUGGGCUCUGGGUAGGUCAUUCAAAAACAUUGACCAUCCUUUGGUUAAGCCAUUCCUAUGUUGAUUUGGAUGUAUGCUUUGGGUCAAUGUCAUACUGAAAGGUGAAAUUCUUUUUAACCUUCAGCUUACUAGCAGAAAUCUGAAGGUUUUUUGCAAAAACUGAUUGGGAUUUGUAGCUAUUCAUGAUUCCCUCCACCUUGAUAAAAGCCCCAGUUCUGGCUGAAGAAAAGCAAUCCUAAAGCAUGCUGCUACCACCACCAUGCUGUGCCACGGGUAUGGUAUUCUUUUAGUGAUGUGUUUUUGUUUUUUUCUGCACCAAACAUACCUUUUGGAAUUAUGGAAUUAUUAUACCUUUUGGAAUUGUUCUCAUCACACUAUAACACAUGUUGCCACAUGGUUUGGGAUAAUUUAGUUGGGCUUGUUUGUUUAUUGUGACUAAUCAGUACUUGUCAGAUAUUACUGCAGUUCCUUUAAUGUUGCCAUAGGUCUAUUGGCAACCUCCCUAUUAAUUGUUUGUCUUAUUCUUUUGUAACUUUUAGACGGACAUCUUGUUCUUUGUAAUGUCACUGUGGUACCCCAUUUUCUCCACUUGUUGAUGAUGGCCUUCAGUGUUCCAUAGUAUAUCUAAUGUUUUGGAAAUUAUUUUAUGCCCAACUCCUGGCCUAUACCUUUUGACAAGUGAGAUACUGUACAUGCUUUGUAAGCUCUUUGUGGACCAUGGCUUCAGGAGUCAGAUGAAACCAAGAAGAUAUCAAGAAAUCUGAUAGACACAGAUGGUCUUUAUUUGGGGUUAGUCAGAAAAAUUACAUUGAUGACAGUGGUAUGAUAAUUACUUUUAGAUUCAAUGUGAUUGGUUCAUUCUGAACCCAGUCACAUCCCAAAUUAUAAAAGGGUGUACACACUUACAUGACUAAGUUACUGUAACUUUUUUUAUCUUUCCCUAAAAUGUUCCCUAAAUGGUUUUUUUCACUUAUUUUUAAGACAUUGUAAUUCAAUGUGAGGUUCUCACAAUUUAUCUUGGUUUUAUUUAUUUAUUUAUUUAACAUCACAAAAACCUGCCAUUUUAACAGGGGUGUGUAGAUGUUUUAUAUGCAUUGUAUGUGCAUCCUUAUAAUUUGUGAAUUACACUUUAAAUGAUCACCUUGUAUUUAUAAUGAAUAAAUACUGCAGUUGCCUCAUAAUUUUUGACAAGCCAUUAUUAGUUAUAGUUAUUAGAUAUAGAACAUAUUAGAGCUUUUUAAGAGUGAAAAUUCUUACAAGAAUCAUUAUCAACUUACAAAGAAUUAUGAGUACAGACAUAAUGUUUUUGUCUUCUUGCUAUUAGCAGUAGUACUAUUUCCUGUUAUCUUUAUUUUCAUUUUUGUACUGGAUCUGUAAUAACAUGUU
Ictalurus punctatus (channel catfish) is the source of this 2609-nucleotide long non-coding RNA. Lineage: Eukaryota; Metazoa; Chordata; Actinopteri; Siluriformes; Ictaluridae. The record is from Ensembl.